This 20-nucleotide non-coding RNA is filed under the name Arabidopsis thaliana (thale cress). Lineage: Eukaryota; Viridiplantae; Streptophyta; Magnoliopsida; Brassicales; Brassicaceae. The record is from RNAcentral. RNAcentral also lists the same sequence under 2 other names.
GAUCCUUCGAUGUCGGCUCU